Molecule: non-coding RNA, 72 nt
Organism: Trametes coccinea BRFM310
Lineage: Eukaryota; Fungi; Basidiomycota; Agaricomycetes; Polyporales; Polyporaceae
Source: the annotation of a GenBank genome assembly
GGGCAUUUGGCACAGUGGUAGCGCGCACGCUUCGCAUGCGUGAGGACCAGGGUUCGACUCCCUGAAUAUCCA